This 252-nucleotide ribosomal RNA is filed under the name uncultured bacterium. Its description in RNAcentral is "partial 16S ribosomal RNA". It matches the Rfam family "Bacterial small subunit ribosomal RNA", at positions 795 to 1052 of the family's 1533-position model. The record is from RNAcentral.
CCGCACGGUAAACGAUGAAUACUCGCCCUGUGCGAUACAAUGUACGGGGCUUAGCGAAAGCGUUAAGUAUUCCACCUGGGGAGUACGCCGGCAACGGUGAAACUCAAAGGAAUUGACGGGGGCCCGCACAAGCGGAGGAACAUGUGGUUUAAUUCGAUGAUACGCGAGGAACCUUACCCGGGCUUAAAUCACAUACGAACGUUCCGGAAACGGGACGGCCGCAAGGCGUAUGUGAAGGUGCUGCAUGGUUGU